UUAUCCUAAAGACUCUCGACAACGGAUAUCUCGACUCUUGCAUCGACAAAGAACAUAGCGAAAUGCGAUACUUGGUGUGAAUUGCAGAAUCCCAUGAACCAUCGAGUCUUUGAACGCAAGUUGCACCCGAAGCCAUUAGGGCGAGGGCACGCCUGCCUAGGUGUUGCACAUCGUUGCCCCAUGCUAGGCACCAAGAGGGGCGAAUGUUGGCUUCCUACAAGCAAUGUCUCACGGUUGGUUGAAAACUGAGUCCGCGGUGGAGGACGUUGUGAUGGAUGGUGGUUGAGCUAAUGCUCGAGACUGAUCGUGUGUGUCACUCCCACUAGCUUUGUGACUCUUUGACCCAUGGGGAUAUGUUGGCCUCCUAAUACGGGAACCUCAGGUGAGGCGCAGCUACCUGCUGAGUUUCAGUAUAUCAAUAAGCGGAGGAAAAGAAACUAACAAGGAUCCCCUUAGUAACGGUGAGCGAACUGGGAAAAUCCCAUCAUGAGAAUCGGUCGCCCUCGGUGUCUGAAUUGUAGUCUGGAGAAGCGUCAUCAGCAGCGGACCGGGCCCAAGUCCCCUAGAAGGGGGUGCCGGAGAGGGUGAGAGCCUCGUCGUGCAUAGACCAUGUUGUACCACGAGCCGCUAUCGGCGAGUUGGGUUGUUUGGGAAUGCAGCCCCAAUUGGGCGGUAAAUUCCAUCGAAGGCUAAAUACAGGCGAGAGACCGAUAGCGAACAAGUACCGCAAGGCGAAGAUGAAGGACUUUGAAAAGAGAGUCAUAGAGUGCUUGAAAUUGUCGGGAGGGAAGCGGCUGGGGGCUGGCGAUGUGCCUCAGUCGGAUUUGGAACGAGGAGAGCCAGUCCGCCAAUCGACUUGGGGCAUGGACUGACGCGAAUUGUGAUGGUGGCCCAAGCCCAGGCUGUUGACAUGCUCAUGAAGACGUCAUCAUCGCGAUUGUGGUAGGAAAUGCGCGUCGUUUCGUGUGCUUCGGCUCCUGCGUGCUCCGGGCGUCGACCUGUAGGCUCCCUAUUCGGCCCAUCUUGAAACACAUACCAAGAAGUCUGACAUGUGUGCGACCUAGAGGGCAAGUAAACCCGAGAAGCACAAUGAAGCUGAUUGGUGGGAUCCCCUUGUGGGUUGCACCACCGACCGACCCUGAUCUUCUUUGCAGGGUUUGAGUGAGAGCAUACCUAUCGGGACCCGAAAUAUGGUGAACUAUGCCUGAGCGGAGCGAGACCAGAGGAAACUCUGGUGGAGGCCAGCAACGAUACUGACGUGCCAAUCGUUCGUCUGACUUGGGUAUAGGGGCGAAAGACUAAUCGAACUGUCUAGUAGCUUGUUCCCUCCGAAGUUUCACUCAGGAUAGCUAGAGCCUGUAGGUGAGUUCUAUCGGGUAAAGCUAAUGAUUAGAGGCAUCGAGGGUGCAACGCCCUCGACCUAUUCUCAAACUUUAAAUAGGUAGGACGAUAUGGCUGCUUUGUUGAGCCACUCCAUGGAAUUGAGAGCUGCAAGUGGGCCUUUUUUGGUAAGCAGAACUGGCGUUGCGGGAUGAACCGGAAGUUGGGUUACGGUGCCCAACUGUGUGCUAACCUAGACCCCACAAAGGGUGUUGGUCGAUUAAGAUAGCAUGACGCUAGUCAUGGAAGUCAAAAUCCGAUAAGGAGUUUGUAACAACUUACCUGCCGAAUCAACUAGCCCCGAAAAUGGAAGGCGCUAAAGCGUGCGACCCAUACCCGGCCAUCGGGACAAGGGCCAUGCCCCAAUGAGUAGGAGGACGCGACGGUCGCUGCAAAACCUAUAGCGUGAGCCCGGACGGAAUGGUCGUCGGUGUAGAUCUUAGUGGUAGUAGCAAAUAUUCAAAUGAGAACAUUGAAGGCCGAAGAGGGGAAAGGUUCCAUGUGAAUGACACUUGCACAUGGGUUAGUCGAUCCUAAGGGAUGAGGAAAGCCCGUCUGAUAGUGCUCUAAGCGCGCACUCCGAAAGGGAAUUGGGUUAAAAUUCCUGAACCGGGAUGUGGCGGCUGACUACAACGUUAGGGAGUCCGGAGACGACGACGGGGGCCCGGAAAGAGUUAUCUUUUCUGUUUAAUAUCCUUCCCACCCUAGAAACAACUCAACCGGAGGUGGGGUCCAGCGGCUGGAAGAGCACCGCACGUCACGUGAUGUUUGCUGCGCCCCCGAUGGCCCUUGAAAAUCCAGAGGACCGAGUGCCUCCCACGCCCGGUCUUACUCAUAACUGCAUCAGGUCUCCAAGGUGAACAACCUCUAGUCGAUGGAACAAUGUAGGCAAGGGAAGUUUUCAAAAUGGAUCUGUAACCUUGAGAAAAGGAUUGGCUCUGAGGGAUGGGCAUGAAGGUCCCAGUCCCUAACCCGUCGGCUGUCGGUGGACUGCUCAAGAUGCUCUUAUGGCGAGAGUGGGUCGCUGCGUGCCGGUCGGGGGACGGAUUGGGAAUGGGCCCUUCGGGGCCUCUUCCCCAGACAUCAAACAGUCGACUCAAAACUGGUACAGACAAGGGGAAUCUGACUGUUUAAUAAAAACAAAGCAUUGCGAUGGUUCGUGACGAUGUGGAUGCAAUGUGAUUUCUGCCCAGUGCUCUAAAUGUCAAAGUGAAGAAAUUCAACUAAGCGUGGGUAAACGGCAGGAGUAACUAUGACUCUCUUAAAGUAGCCAAAUGACUCGUCAACUAAUUAGUGAUGCGCAUGAAUGGAGUAACGAUAUUCCCAUUGUCCCUAUCUACUAUCCAGCGAAACCGCAGCCAAGGGAACGGGCUUGGCGGAAUCAGCAGGGAAAGAAGACCCUGUUGAGCAUGACUCUAGUCCGACUUUGUGAAAUGACUUGAGAGGUGUAGGAGAAGUGGGAGUUGGAAACAGAGGAACUGAAAUACCACUACUUUUAACAUUAUUUUAGUUAUUCCGUGAAUCGGAGGCGUGGUGCAGCCCCUAUUUUUGGACCCAAGGUCGGCCUCAGUCGGUCGAUCCGGGCGGAAGACAUUGUCAGGUGGGGAGUUUGGCUGGGGCGGCACAUCUGUUAAUAGAUAACGCAUGUGUCCUAAGAUGGGCUCAACGAGAACAAAAAUCUUGUGUGGAACAAAAGGGUAAAAGCUCGUUUGAUUCUGAUUUCUAGUACGAAUACUGUUAGGUAUCAGUGACAGAAUACACCUAGAAG
Molecule: ribosomal RNA, 3148 nt
Filed under: Lupinus angustifolius (narrow-leaved blue lupine)
Lineage: Eukaryota; Viridiplantae; Streptophyta; Magnoliopsida; Fabales; Fabaceae
Description: bacterial LSU rRNA
Rfam family: Eukaryotic large subunit ribosomal RNA (bases 374-3148)
Source: RNAcentral